This is an RNA transcript of Mustela erminea (ermine), 2004 nucleotides long. It is a transcript of the gene named Jun dimerization protein 2, with no coding region annotated. The transcript has 6 exons. Lineage: Eukaryota; Metazoa; Chordata; Mammalia; Carnivora; Mustelidae. The record is from RefSeq and is a predicted model, not a curated record.
ACCUGGGACGGCGGCCCCCGCGCGGGCUGGGGCGGGGAGGCUCCCGCAGCCCCGGGCCGCCCCCCGCGACCCCCCGCGAGCCUGUCCGGGCGGGGGGCGCUGCAGCCCCGGGGCCCCUCCGGCCCGGCGGCGGGGAGCCGGUGAAUGCCUUUUGGUUCCCGCCCAGGGACGGUAGACUCCGUCGGCUCGCGGGGCAGCCGGGACGCUCCCUCCCGCGCUCUCCUCCCCCGUCCGUUUGCAGGGAGGUGCUCCCUUCGGGAGGCGGGGAACGCGGGCUGGGCUGCCGCUCCUCCUGCUAUGAUGCCUGGGCAGAUUCCAGACCCUUCCGUGACUGCGGGCUCUCUGCCAGGGCUUGGCCCCCUGACCGGACUCCCCAGCUCGGCUCUGACUGCAGAGGAGCUGAAAUACGCCGACAUCCGCAACAUUGGGGCCAUGAUCGCCCCCUUGCACUUCCUGGAGGUGAAGCUGGGCAAGAGGCCCCAACCCGUGAAAAGUGAGGUCCACUGGCAGCCUGGACUCAGAGUUGGGAAAGUGGGUCAUCUCGCCGGUGAGCUCCGCUGGCUGAACAGCGCUGGAGCCAGCCAAGCUGCUCUCCCUUCUACCACGUCCCCAAGACACAAGACCACUUGGCCUGAGCUAGAUGAAGAAGAGGAGCGGAGGAAAAGACGCCGGGAGAAGAACAAAGUGGCAGCAGCCCGAUGCCGGAACAAGAAGAAGGAGCGGACGGAGUUUCUGCAGCGGAAUUCAACUGCUGGCCUUAUACUCAGGGCCUGAUGCUAAUAGGACCCGCAGAGCGGGACGUGGCCCGCGCUCUGGAUGCCCCAGUGAGGCGCGCGAGCACCAGCCCUUGGGAAAGAAGCCCUGUGAGUGAUCCGGCGCCUGCAGCGUGGGUGGAGUUUUUAUUGGUCCUGUGUCCAGGCGUUCCAAAGCACCCCCUUCAAGAUGAAUGACAGGGCCUGUGGAGAACUGCUCUGCAGAUGUGAUCGGAAGCCCUGAAGAGUCUGGGCCACCAUCUCCUCCUCAGAAUCAGCCAGAUGUGUAGCGGUGGCCUGAGUCACAGCCACAGCUGAUAGUCCCUGUGCUGGGUGAUUCAGAUCAGGAAACCUCAGGAGCAACAGCCUAGACUUCUAGAAAACCCUGUGCCUGGUGAUUCCCAGUUUGAAUUCCUGGAUGAGCGUACCCCUGAGACAGGGCUUUUUUUCUUUUUCUGAGAAGGUAACUGAAAUUUGGACCUUAUGGCCUGAGCGCGGUCAACAGAAAAGUGCAGAACUCACCAAGGCUGAUCUCUUCCUGUGGACCUCCCCUUUUCUUUGCCUCUGGCCCAAGAGUGAGGGCUUUCUGAGGCACUGGAACCUUCUCUUGUCCUUGGGGCUGAGCUCCUUCCAGAUGAAAUGCCUUACGAGGGCUCGCAGAGGACAACCCCCAAGCUUUAAACAAGGCCACAAUGACACCAGCAUAACCAACGUGGGAGGAAUAGCACACUGUGCUAAAUUCUUUAUAGUCCUUUUCUCCUCUAACUCCCCCUGCAAACCCACGGGAGUAGGGGUGCUGCUCUUAGGAUCCCUACUCCCCAGACUGGAAAUGAGCCCAGGAGAACCUUCCUCCAUUAGCAGUUAUGUCAAUGCAGACCCCAGGUAGUGAGGAUUCCCAACCCCAGCGGCUCUCCCAACAGUAGAAAGCUCCAAACACUGGAUGUUAGAUCCCCGACUUCUGUUGCCAUGUCUUCACAAGCUGCUGUCCUCUUAGGUUCUGCUCACCAAGCCAAGACUAAAACAAGUCAGGGGAAAAAGGGAGGCGUGAUGGUAUUUACUCAGAACUGUAGGACAUAAAAUAGUUUUAUAAAUAAAUACUUUAAAUGGUAAAAAAUUUAAAAAAUUAUUGCUUUGUUGAGGUUUAAUUGAUACACAAAAAUGCACAUAAUUAAUGUAUACAUUUGGAUGAGUUAGCACAUAUGUAUACACUGCGUGAGAUCAGUAUUGCAAUCAAGGUAAUAAACCUAUUUGU